CUGAGACGUGAUGCGUAGCCGUUUGAGGCGAAGUAGAGUGAUCCUAUGCUGCCGAGAAAAGCCUCUAGUGAGUGCAUGCACGGCCCGUACCCCAAACCAACACAGGUGGUCAGGUAGAGAAUACCAAGGCGAUCGGGUGAACUGUGGUUAAGGAACUCGGCAAAAUGCCCCCGUAACUUCGGGAGAAGGGGGGCCAAACAUCCUGAAGCCCUUCGCGGGCUAGGGGUGGGUGGCCGCAGAGACCAGCGGAAAGCGACUGUUUACUAAAAACACAGGUCCAUGCGAAGUCGCAAGACGAUGUAUAUGGACUGACGCCUGCCCGGUGCUGGAACGUUAAGAGGACCGGUUAGCCUUUCGGGGCGAAGCUGAGAAUUUAAGCGCCAGUAAACGGCGGUGGUAACUAUAACCAUCCUAAGGUAGCGAAAUUCCUUGUCGGGUAAGUUCCGACCUGCACGAAUGGCGUAACGACUUUCCGGCUGUCUCAACCACAGGCCCGGCGAAAUUGCACUACGAGUAAAGAUGCUCGUUACGCGCGGCAGGACGGAAAGACCCCGGGACCUUUACUAUAGUUUGGUAUUGGUUUUCGGUUCGGCUUGUGUAGGAUAGGUGGGAGACUGUGAAGCG
This 624-nucleotide ribosomal RNA is filed under the name Amycolatopsis eburnea. RNAcentral describes it as "Amycolatopsis sp. GLM-1 partial 23S ribosomal RNA". It matches the Rfam family "Bacterial large subunit ribosomal RNA", at positions 1556 to 2164 of the family's 2925-position model. The record is from RNAcentral. Lineage: Bacteria; Bacillati; Actinomycetota; Actinomycetes; Pseudonocardiales; Pseudonocardiaceae.